RNAcentral lists this non-coding RNA (262 nucleotides) under Fukomys damarensis (Damara mole-rat). RNAcentral's name for it is "Voltage-gated potassium-channel Kv1.4 IRES". It matches the Rfam family "Voltage-gated potassium-channel Kv1.4 IRES". Rfam says of the family: This family represents the Kv1.4 voltage-gated potassium-channel internal ribosome entry site (IRES). The record is from Rfam by way of RNAcentral. Lineage: Eukaryota; Metazoa; Chordata; Mammalia; Rodentia; Bathyergidae.
GAAGUUUGAGAAGCGCGAAGCUGUCUAGGCCAGCGGAGGUCUGGAGAGCAAUGCCGAGUCCCCGAGCAGAGAGAACAUAGGGCUGUGCUGAUUUAAAAACAGAAAAUGCAAAGCUGGACUGAAAAUAUCCUUAGUCUUCCAAGCAAUCUGCUGAAGAGUUCCAAACGUACCUUCGCUUGGUGAGCAGAGAAGCUGCCCUAUUUUCUCCCCUUCUUCCUUCUUUCACACCUGGAACCAGCCAUUUCCUGAAGCCACCACCAUG